UACGUAGGGUGCAAGCGUUUGUCCGGAAUUAUUGGGCGUAAAGAGCUCGUAGGCGGUCUGUCGCGUCUGCUGUGAAAACCUGGGGCUUAACCCCGGGCCUGCAGUGGGUACGGGCAGACUAGAGUGUGGUAGGGGGAGACUGGAAUUCCUGGUGUAGCGGUGAAAUGCGCAGAUAUCAGGAGGAACACCGGUGGCGAAGGCGGGUCUCUGGGCCAUAACUGACGCUGAGGAGCGAAAAGCGUGGGGGAGCGAACAGG
RNAcentral lists this ribosomal RNA (257 nucleotides) under uncultured bacterium. RNAcentral's name for it is "partial 16S ribosomal RNA". It matches the Rfam family "Bacterial small subunit ribosomal RNA", at positions 524 to 776 of the family's 1533-position model. The record is from RNAcentral.